GAUGAACGCUGGCGGCGUGCUUAACACAUGCAAGUCGAACGAAGCACUUUAUUUGAUUUCCUUCGGGACUGAUUAUUUUGUGACUGAGUGGCGGACGGGUGAGUAACGCGUGGGUAACCUGCCUUGUACAGGGGGAUAACAGUUGGAAACGGCUGCUAAUACCGCAUAAGCGCACAGCAUCGCAUGAUGCAGUGUGAAAAACUCCGGUGGUAUAAGAUGGACCCGCGUUGGAUUAGCUAGUUGGUGAGGUAACGGCCCACCAAGGCGACGAUCCAUAGCCGACCUGAGAGGGUGACCGGCCACAUUGGGACUGAGACACGGCCCAAACUCCUACGGGAGGCAGCAGUGGGGAAUAUUGCACAAUGGGCGAAAGCCUGAUGCAGCGACGCAGCGUGAGCGAAGAAGUAUUUCGGUAUGUAAAGCUCUAUCAGCAGGGAAGAUAAUGACGGUACCUGACUAAGAAGCACCGGCUAAAUACGUG
RNAcentral lists this ribosomal RNA (481 nucleotides) under uncultured bacterium. RNAcentral's name for it is "partial 16S ribosomal RNA". It matches the Rfam family "Bacterial small subunit ribosomal RNA", at positions 28 to 507 of the family's 1533-position model. The record is from RNAcentral.